This 719-nucleotide ribosomal RNA is filed under the name uncultured bacterium. RNAcentral describes it as "bacterial SSU rRNA". It matches the Rfam family "Bacterial small subunit ribosomal RNA", at positions 9 to 745 of the family's 1533-position model. The record is from RNAcentral.
GAGUUUGAUCCUGGCUCAGGAUGAACGCUAGCGGUGCGCCUAACACAUGCAAGUCGAGCGCCCUCACUUUGUCUUCGAAUCUUUCGAAGCCAGUGUGAGGGAGCGGCGAACGGGUGAGUAACACGUUGGAACCUACCCCAGACUCAGGGAUAGCCCACCGAAAGGUGGAUUAAUACCGGAUAGUCUCGUAAGAGUAAAGCUUUUGCGGUUUGGGAGGGGCCUGCGGCCUAUCAGCUUGUUGGUAGUGUAAUAGACUACCAAGGCUAUGACGGGUAUCUGGUGUGAGAGCAUGACCAGACACAAUGGAACUGAGACACGGUCCAUACUCCUACGGGAGGCAGCAGUGAGGAAUCUUCCGCAAUGGGCGAAAGCCUGACGGAGCGACACCGCGUGGAGGACGAAGGCCUUUUGGUUGUAAACUCCUUUUCUGGGGGAAUAAAUGAUGAAGGUACCCCAGGAAUAAGCACCGGCUAACUACGUGCCANCAGCCGCGGUAAUACGUAGGGUGCAAGCGUUAUCCGGAAUUAUUGGGCGUAAAGCGUUCGUAGGCUGUUUAGAUAGUUUGUAGUUAAAUAUGGUCGCUCAACGAUCAACUCGCUACAAAAACUCCUAAACUUGAGAUUGGCAGANGCAACUGGAAUUCCACAUGUAGGGGUAAAAUCCGUUGAUAUGUGGAGGAACACCAAAAGCGAAGGCAGGUUGCUGGGCCAUUUCUGACG